CUACUCUGGUUUUUCUUCUUCAGAUCGUAUUUAAAUCUUUCACCCUUUUACUAAAGAUUUCUGUGGAGAGGAACAAUUCUGAGUCUUGUUAAUAUUUUUGAGGCCUUGCAUCUGCAAGGC
This is a small nuclear RNA of Suncus etruscus (white-toothed pygmy shrew), 120 nucleotides long. RefSeq annotates it as U5 spliceosomal RNA. The transcript has a single exon. Lineage: Eukaryota; Metazoa; Chordata; Mammalia; Eulipotyphla; Soricidae. The record is from RefSeq and is a predicted model, not a curated record.